UGGCGCACGGGUGAGUAACACGUAAGUAAUCUACCUUUUUUGUGGGGGAUAACGUAGGGAAACUUACGCUAAUACCGCAUACGCCCUUCGGGGGAAAGCGGGGGCCCAGCAAUGGCCUCGCGCAGAUAGAUGAGCCGAUGUCCGAUUAGCUAGUUGGCGGGGUAAAGGCCCACCAAGGCGACGAUCGGUAGCUGGUCUGAGAGGACGACCAGCCACACUGGAACUGAGACACGGUCCAG
RNAcentral lists this ribosomal RNA (239 nucleotides) under uncultured bacterium. Its description in RNAcentral is "partial 16S ribosomal RNA". It matches the Rfam family "Bacterial small subunit ribosomal RNA", at positions 96 to 334 of the family's 1533-position model. The record is from RNAcentral.